AUUGAACGCUGGCGGCAUGCCUUACACAUGCAAGUCGAACGGUAACAGGUCUUCGGAUGCUGACGAGUGGCGAACGGGUGAGUAAUACAUCGGAACGUGCCCGAUCGUGGGGGAUAACGGAGCGAAAGCUUUGCUAAUACCGCAUACGAUCUACGGAUGAAAGCAGGGGACCGCAAGGCCUUGCGCGGACGGAGCGGCCGAUGGCAGAUUAGGUAGUUGGUGGGAUAAAAGCUUACCAAGCCGACGAUCUGUAGCUGGUCUGAGAGGACGACCAGCCACACUGGGACUGAGACACGGCCCAGACUCCUACGGGAGGCAGCAGUGGGGAAUUUUGGACAAUGGGCGAAAGCCUGAUCCAGCCAUGCCGCGUGCAGGAAGAAGGCCUGGUUGUAACUAGCUUAGUCUAGAAAAGGGUAGGCGAGGUAAGUACCUACGUGCUUUGAUGGUACUGGAAGAAUAAGCACCGGCUAACUACGUAGCCACGCAGCCGCGGUAA
This 496-nucleotide ribosomal RNA is filed under the name uncultured bacterium. RNAcentral's name for it is "bacterial SSU rRNA". It matches the Rfam family "Bacterial small subunit ribosomal RNA", at positions 30 to 523 of the family's 1533-position model. The record is from RNAcentral.